RNAcentral lists this ribosomal RNA (250 nucleotides) under uncultured microorganism. RNAcentral's name for it is "partial 16S ribosomal RNA". It matches the Rfam family "Bacterial small subunit ribosomal RNA", at positions 9 to 253 of the family's 1533-position model. The record is from RNAcentral.
GAGUUUGAUCGUGGCUCAGAUUGAACGCUGGCGGCAUGCCUUACACAUGCAAGUCGAACGGCAGCAUGAUCUAGCUUGCUAGAUUGAUGGCGAGUGGCGAACGGGUGAGUAAUACAUCGGAACGUGCCCUGUAGUGGGGAGUAACUAGUCGAAAGAUUAGCUAAUACCGCAUACGACCUGAGGGUGAAAGUGGGGGACCGGCGAAGGCCUCAUGCUAUAGGAGCGGCCGAUGUCUGAUUAGCUAGUUGGU